CCUGCAUUCAUCUGCUGCCAAAAUCUCUGUUUUCUGUGUUUAUUGUACUCAAAGUCUCUCUUUGGAGAUGGAGGCUACUCAUGUACAGAAUGUCUGUUGACUCCCUAUAACAACCCACAGUCAAGUACUUUUCAAUGAAGCUCACCGAACUACCAGGGGGAUAAUUGCUGAUGCGAAAAGUGAGGAUUCUUGGAUUUUGAAGUGGUUUCAGAUCAAGAUGAAUCCAUAUCCAAAUUGUAAAUAAAUAUUACAAAAAUAACGCUCUGUAAUCACUCUUCAAAAAAUUUUGAACAAUAAUAAAGUUGUUUAGAUAAGUUGAA
Molecule: long non-coding RNA, 320 nt
Organism: Bombina bombina (fire-bellied toad)
Lineage: Eukaryota; Metazoa; Chordata; Amphibia; Anura; Bombinatoridae
Exons: 2
Source: RefSeq, a predicted model, not a curated record